CCGCCUGUAGCUUAAUUGGUAAAGCAGCCGGCUCUUAACCGGAAGAUUGUGGAGGUUCGAGCCCUCCCAGGCGGA
RNAcentral lists this transfer RNA (75 nucleotides) under Parcubacteria group bacterium RIFCSPHIGHO2_01_FULL_40_30. RNAcentral's name for it is "tRNA-Lys". It matches the Rfam family "tRNA". Rfam says of the family: Transfer RNA (tRNA) molecules are approximately 80 nucleotides in length. The record is from RNAcentral. RNAcentral also lists the same sequence under 4 other names.